CCUUUGCCUCGGCGCCAAAGCCCACAGGAGUUUUUGCUCUUCAGAAUCCAGUCAGAUUGAUGGAAGACGCCAGACCCGGGUUUUUGUACAUCCAUUUGCACAGUACUGUACAACAAGUUUCCUUUGCUGAGUUCCUUGGUCAGGGGUUUAAAUACAUUUGCUGUCCAGUACUGCAGUUGGAAUUUUCCAUCAAUUUUUUAUGGGCAACCAAAAAGAAGAAUUUUUGAAGGACCUGACAAACAUUGCCAUGGCCAUAUGUGUCAUCAAAAGGAAGUAGGAGAUUUUGGAGAUUAUGACGACAUUGGCAUCGUUGUUGAUGGAACAGUGAUUCUUGAACAGAUAAAAUCUGUUGCACAAGCCUGUGCAUUGAUGUUGGGGGCAAUUUAUGUGCUUGAUUUGGCUCACCCAAAAGAGCUCAAAUACUAUUACGAGUUUGCCCAAAAAGUACUCAUGCAAAUGAACUCUGACAAGCUCUCCUCAAAGGUUCUCAUACUGAAAAACAGUGUGAUACUGUAAUUUGAAGCAUUGAAGUGUUGAUAAAUGCUCAACAACCAUAUGUAUAUCACAUACAAAUUGCGACUUAGUGUAGGAUAGGUUUUGUGUAGUGUAGGUUUACUUUGCUGUAGGAACUUGUUUUAAAUGUUGACUUAAGACUUGUAUUUAGUUAAAACUUUUUACAAAUUGUGUGUGUGCGUGUGUGUGUGUGUGCGUGCGUGCGUGUGUGUGUGCGUGCGUGUGUGUGUGUAAGAGAGCGAGAGCGUGCGCAUUCCAUAAACUUUGCUCAAUCUGUUAAUAAGUUAAUUUUUUAAGUUAAUCAGUUGAUUAUUUUGUGUAUUGGAGCAAACUGCAAUUCUUAUGACACACACACCAAGCCAUUCUAUGACUUCAUUGAGUUUUCUUUUAUGUGUUGGUUUAAAUUAAAUGUGAUGUACAAACAGUUUUUGUUUUAUGGUGUGCUGCUAAAGCACUUAUAGGCAGUGAUUUAUGUUUUGUUAGAAAUUGCAUCUUAAAAAGUCAUUAAAAUGAAUUCAAAACAAA
Long non-coding RNA from Danio aesculapii, 1038 nucleotides. RefSeq lists it as uncharacterized. Lineage: Eukaryota; Metazoa; Chordata; Actinopteri; Cypriniformes; Danionidae. The transcript is spliced from 3 exons. The record is from RefSeq and is a predicted model, not a curated record.